CGGGGCGUGGUGUAAUGGUAGCACGCGUGCUUUGGGAGCACGUAGCCCGAGUUCGAAUCUCGGCGCCCCGACCA
RNAcentral lists this transfer RNA (74 nucleotides) under Candidatus Terrybacteria bacterium RIFCSPHIGHO2_01_FULL_48_17. RNAcentral's name for it is "tRNA-Pro". It matches the Rfam family "tRNA". From Rfam's summary of the family: Transfer RNA (tRNA) molecules are approximately 80 nucleotides in length. Their secondary structure includes four short double-helical elements and three loops (D, anti-codon, and T loops). Lineage: Bacteria; Candidatus Terryibacteriota. RNAcentral also lists the same sequence under 1 other name. The record is from RNAcentral.